AUAUUUCGACCAUCAAAAGUUUGAUUUGAUCCAUAGAUCUUGAAGAGCCAGAAUGCCACGUCGUGGAAAAAGUAGCAAACCAAGCUAUGGCCGGACGACCGGGAGUCCGUACAUCCACAAGCCGCUUCCUAGCGGUGUUCCAGUACCUAUGUGCUUUUGUGGUGAUCCUUGCAAGGUAGACAUUUCAGAAGACGAGGAAACCUAUCGGCAGA
This is a long non-coding RNA of Sorghum bicolor (sorghum), 212 nucleotides long. RefSeq lists it as uncharacterized. NCBI's taxonomy places the organism in Eukaryota, Viridiplantae, Streptophyta, Magnoliopsida, Poales, Poaceae. The record is from RefSeq and is a predicted model, not a curated record. The transcript is spliced from 3 exons.